UAGUUGGUGGGGUAAUGGCCUACCAAGGCGACGAUCAGUAGCGGGUCUGAGAGGAUGAUCCGCCACACUGGAACUGAGACACGGUCCAGACUCCUACGGGAGGCAGCAGUGGGGAAUUUUGGACAAUGGGGGCAACCCUGAUCCAGCCAUUCCGCGUGAGUGAAGAAGGCCUUCGGGUUGUAAAGCUCUUUCAGCCGGAACGAAACGGUAUUCCUUAAUACGGGGUGCUAAUGACGGUACCGGCAGAAGAAGCACCGGCUAACUACGUGCCAGCAGCCGCGGUAAUACGUAGGGUGCGAGCGUUAAUCGGAAUUACUGGGCGUAAAGCGUGCGCAGGCGGAUUGUUAAGCAAGAUGUGAAAUCCCCGGGCUUAACCUGGGAAUGGCAUUUUGAACUGGCAGUCUAGAGUGUGUCAGAGGGGGGUGGAAUUCCACGUGUAGCAGUGAAAUGCGUAGAUAUGUGGAGGAACACCGAUGGCGAAGGCAGCCCCCUGGGAUAACACUGACGCUCAUGUACGAAAGCGUGGGUAGCAAACAGGAUUAGAUACCCUGGUAGUCCACGCCCUAAACGAUGUCAACUGGUUGUUGGGGGGAGUGAAAUCCCUUAGUAACGAAGCUAACGCGUGAAGUUGACCGCCUGGGGGAGUACGGUCGCAAGAUUAAAACUCAAAGGAAUUGACGGGGACCCGCACAAGCGGUGGAUGAUGUGGAUUAAUUCGAUGCAACGCGAAAAACCUUACCUACCCUUGACAUGUCCAGAAUCCUGCAGAGAUGCGGGAGUGCCCGAAAGGGAAUUGGAACACAGGUGCUGCAUGGCUGUCGUCAGCUCGUGUCGUGAGAUGUUGGGUUAAGUCCCGCAACGAGCGCAACCCUUAUCAUUAGUUGCUACGCAAGGGCACUCUAAUGAGACUGCCGG
Molecule: ribosomal RNA, 915 nt
Filed under: uncultured bacterium
Lineage: Bacteria
Description: bacterial SSU rRNA
Rfam family: Bacterial small subunit ribosomal RNA
Source: RNAcentral